GCCAUGGCAAGAUCAGAGGGAGAGCAUUUCAAGCAGAGGAACAGUGAGCAUGCGGGCCUGUUUCCCAGACUGGCGGACAGCAGUGUGACUAGGCAAGGGAGCCAGGGAAGCGUGGCCAGGCUGUGAGGUGGAGAGGACAGAGGGGGCUGCAGGGCUGUAGGCCGUGGCAAAAAGGGUAAAGAUUUUGUUCCAGGUGAGGUAGAAGACACGGUUGGGAUUCCUUGGUCUCAUCACUCUCAUGCCCCUGAGUGUUUGCUUUGCCAGGAAUAUACACUUCUACCUGCCUCCUCAAAUGGUCUAAUAAUAGUAAGGAUCACCUGGGACCCUGGGUUAGGCAUGCAGAUGCUGACCCUGGACCUGCUGAACCAAACUCUUAGGGGAAUGCUGGUGAAUCUGUAUUGUAAUGGAUGCCCCGGGAGAACUCUUUUCGGCAGCGUUUCAUAAGCUCUCAUCUGGAUCAAGCAGCUUAGAGGGAGUGGGGUGGCACCAGACUUGGCCUUUGAGAAUUGGCCCUGGAGUGUAACUGCCAGAGAAGCAGUUUGCCUUCUAAAAAAAUUACUACUGGGAGUCAGUGAAAUUAAAAGACAGGCUUAUUUCAGACUUUGACAAACUGAAUAUAGGUGUCUCUUUGGACCUGCACAGUAAAAGGGCAAGUGCCAGAGAGGCAACCGGGAUGGAGGGCCUGGAAGCUAAGGUGCUAUGAAGGCUUCACAAACAGACACAUGUACAUGAGGGAGGUGGGUGGGGACUGGAAAUCGACAGGCCCAGCAAGGCCAUUUUUUUUCUCCAAGAGGAGAUCUGUGGGAGGGCCCGACUCCCUUGAGGUGAAGGAGCUUGGAUCUGUGCCUCCCCACUUGAUCCAUGGCAAUGGUAGCACCUACCACAUAGGACGGUUGCAAGGGUCACACAGAACAAGCAUUAGCAGUUGCAGGGGUGUGUGGAAGAAAGAAUCUUCCUACCCUUGAGCUGUUCAGCAAAAACAGGGCCUCCCCACAAAGUGGGGGAUUACUGUCUGACCCUGCCAGCCCUAGAAGUGUCUGAGUAAAGAGGAAAGCACAUGUAUUUGAGUACCUGUAUUAUGAAAUCCAGUGCUGGGUGCUGAGUCUAGUUCUCAGGUAGAGGGGGCAAUGCCCUGAGUUGCUUCUGCGCAGGGAGCUCUCCAUGGUGCUAAACAAGUGUCUGUAGCCACCAGUGCCAGGCCAGCAGGCUGGCUGAGCGCUCUGGUUAGUCCAUCCAUUUUUCUUCUAUGUAUUUCUUCAAACCAGCCUUCCUGGACCUCUGCAACAUCUUACUAUGAAGUGUGCGUGGUGAUUUGUGCAUAGAUACGUAUUGUCUGCUUUUCUCUGCUUCAAAGUGUAAUGCGUGUUCAUUAUGGAUGGUCUGAAUCCGUAUCAACUCUCAGAGGCAAAGAGAUUUGGCCCCGGCUUGGUGGAGGUUGGUGGUGUGGCUCCCACGGGCAUUGGCUCACGUUGUCUGCUUUCUCUCAGGCGGAUCUGUGCACGGGACUGCAGGGCUUCCUCAUCUUCCACAGCUUUGGGGGCGGCACCGGCUCUGGGUUCGUGUCUCUGCUCAUGGAAUGGCUCUCGGUGGACUACAGGAAGAAGUCCAAGCUGGAGUUUGCCAUUUACCCAGCCCCCAGGUCUCCACGGCCAUGACCCAGCCCUACAACUCCAUCCUGACCACCUACGCGACCCUGGAACAUUCUGACUGUGCCUUCACAGUCAACAGCAAAGCCACCUAUGACAUGUCGGUACAACCUGGACAUCGAGUGUCCCAGGUACACCAACCUCAGUCGUCUGAUUGGGCAGAUCGUGUCCUCCAUCAUGGCCUCCCUGUGAUUCAAUGGGGCCCUGAAUGUGUACUUGACAGAAUUCCAAACCAACUUGGUGCCGUACCCCCACAUCCACCUCCCCUUGGCCACCUACGCCCUGAUCAUCUCAGCCGAGAAGGUCUACCACAAGCAGCUGUCCGUGGCCGAGAUCGCCAGUGCCCGCUUCGAGCCAGCCAAUCAGAUGGCCAAAUGUGACCCUCGCCAUGGCAAGUACACAGCCUGCUGCAUGUUGUACAGAGGGGAUGUGGUCCUGAAAGAUGUCAGUGCGGCUGUCGCCACCAUCAAGAGCAAGCACACCAACCAGUUUGUGGACUGGUGUCUGAUUGGAUUUAAGGUGGGCAUUAACUAUCAGCCCCCCACGGUGGUCCCUGUGAGAGACCUGGCCAAAGUGCGGCGGGCGGUGUGCAUGCUGAGCAACACCACGGCUCAGCAUGCACAGCUCUGCCAAAAGGCAGAGGAAACUGCUUUUCUUCUCGAGGCCUCCGUUGCCUCGUCUGUGCCCGGGCGGUGGUGCUUACCCGGCGGGGUCGCAGGGAGGUCUCGUGGCGGCGUGUGUUGGAUCAUGGAGGCCUGGGCCUGCCUGGACCGUAAGUUCGGCUAAGUGCGCCUUAGCGCACCGGUACGUGGGGGAGGGCAUGGCAGUGGGGGAAUUCUCCGAGGCCCGCGAGGAUCUGGCAGCUCUGGAGGAUUAUGAAGAGGUGGGCAUAGAUGCCGUGGAAGCUGAGGCUGAAGAAGGCGAAGAAUAGUGAGGGGAGGGUGCGGCAGGCAACCAUCCCUCUGUAUUCCCCACCAUAACGCUAGGAGAGCU
Molecule: RNA transcript, 2639 nt
Organism: Nomascus leucogenys (northern white-cheeked gibbon)
Lineage: Eukaryota; Metazoa; Chordata; Mammalia; Primates; Hylobatidae
Gene name: tubulin alpha-8 chain-like
Exons: 2
Source: RefSeq, a predicted model, not a curated record